AAGCUCGUAGUUGGAUUUCUGUUAAUAAUUUAUAUAUAAUAUUUAACAUAUUUAUAUAAUAUUAACAUAAUUCAUAUUACUAUUUAUAGUAUAUGAAACUUUACUUUGAGAAAAUUAGAGUGCUUAAAGCAGGCUUUUGCCUUGAAUACUAGAGCAUGGAAUAAUAUUAAAGAUUUUUAUCUUUCUUAUUGGUUCUAAGAUAGAAAUAAUGAUUAAUAGGGACAGUUGGGGGCAUUUGUAUUUAACAGUUAGAGGUGAAAUUCUUAGAUUUGUUAAAGACAAACUAAUGCGAAAGCAUUUGCCAAGGAUGUUUUCAUUAAUCAAGAACGAAAGUUAGGGGAUCGAAGACGAUCAGAUACCGUCGUAGUCUUAACCAUAAACUAUGCCAACUAGAGAUUGGAGGUUGUUCCUUACUCCUUCAGCACCUUA
This 429-nucleotide ribosomal RNA is filed under the name Cryptosporidium parvum. RNAcentral's name for it is "SSU rRNA". It matches the Rfam family "Eukaryotic small subunit ribosomal RNA", at positions 624 to 1090 of the family's 1831-position model. Lineage: Eukaryota; Apicomplexa; Conoidasida; Eucoccidiorida; Cryptosporidiidae. The record is from RNAcentral.